RNAcentral lists this ribosomal RNA (425 nucleotides) under uncultured bacterium. RNAcentral's name for it is "partial 16S ribosomal RNA". It matches the Rfam family "Bacterial small subunit ribosomal RNA", at positions 354 to 796 of the family's 1533-position model. The record is from RNAcentral.
GUGGGGAAUCUUAGACAAUGGGGGAAACCCUGAUCUAGCCAUGCCGCGUGAGUGAUGAAGGCCUUAGGGUUGUAAAGCUCUUUCAGCUGGGAAGAUAAUGACUGUACCAGCAGAAGAAGCCCCGGCUAACUCCGUGCCAGCAGCCGCGGUAAUACGGAGGGGGCUAGCGUUGUUCGGAAUUACUGGGCGUAAAGCGCACGUAGGCGGACCGGAAAGUCAGAGGUGAAAUCCCAGGGCUCAACCUUGGAACUGCCUUUGAAACUCCUGGUCUUGAGGUCGAGAGAGGUGAGUGGAAUUCCGAGUGUAGAGGCGAAAUUCGUAGAUAUUCGGAGGAACACCAGUGGCGAAGGCGGCUCACUGGCUCGAUACUGACGCUGAGGUGCGAAAGCGUGGGGAGCAAACAGGAUUAGAUACCCCGGUAGUCC